AGCUCUGUAGUGAAGUUCAUGUCAGGUUGCAAACCUGAAGAUGCGGGCUAGCGCCCGCCGGGGCUU
RNAcentral lists this transfer RNA (66 nucleotides) under Amblygaster sirm (spotted sardinella). RNAcentral describes it as "tRNA-Cys". It matches the Rfam family "tRNA". From Rfam's summary of the family: Transfer RNA (tRNA) molecules are approximately 80 nucleotides in length. Their secondary structure includes four short double-helical elements and three loops (D, anti-codon, and T loops). Lineage: Eukaryota; Metazoa; Chordata; Actinopteri; Clupeiformes; Clupeidae. The record is from RNAcentral.